UACGUAGGGAGCGAGCGUUGUCCGGAUUUAUUGGGCGUAAAGCGCGCGUAGGCGGUUUCGUAAGUCGGUUGUGAAAACUCCAAGCUCAACUUGGAGCCUGCAUCCGAAACUGCGAUGACUUGAGUCUGGUAGGGGAACACGGAAUACCUGGUGUAGCGGUGAAAUGCUUAGAUAUCAGGUGGAACACCAGUGGCGAAGGCGGUGUUCUGGGCCAGUACUGACGCUAAGGCGCGAAAGCGUGGGGAGCAAACAGG
Molecule: ribosomal RNA, 254 nt
Filed under: uncultured bacterium
Lineage: Bacteria
Description: partial 16S ribosomal RNA
Rfam family: Bacterial small subunit ribosomal RNA
Source: RNAcentral